GAUGAACGCUGGCGGCGUGCCUAAUACAUGCAAGUCGAGCGAACGGACGAGAAGCUUGCUUUUCUGAUGUUAGCGGCGGACGGGUGAGUAACACGUGGAUAACCUACCUAUAAGACUGGGAUAACUUCGGGAAACCGGAGCUAAUACCGGAUAAUAUUUUGAACCGCAUGGUUCAAAAGUGAAAGACGGUCUUGCUGUCACUUAUAGAUGGAUCCGCGCUGCAUUAGCUAGUUGGUAAGGUAACGGCUUACCAAGGCAACGAUGCAUAGCCGACCUGAGAGGGUGAUCGGCCACACUGGAACUGAGACACGGACCAGACGCCUACGGGAGGGAGCAGUAGGGAAUAUUCCGCAAUGGGCGAAAGCCUGACGGAGCAACGCCGCGUGAGUGAUGAAGGUCUUCGGAUCGUAAAACUCUGUUAUUAGGGAAGAACAUAUGUGUAAGUAACUGUGCACAUCUUGACGGUACCUAAUCAGAAAGCAACGGCUAACUACGUG
Molecule: ribosomal RNA, 497 nt
Filed under: uncultured bacterium
Lineage: Bacteria
Description: partial 16S ribosomal RNA
Rfam family: Bacterial small subunit ribosomal RNA
Source: RNAcentral